This 947-nucleotide ribosomal RNA is filed under the name uncultured archaeon. RNAcentral describes it as "bacterial SSU rRNA". It matches the Rfam family "Archaeal small subunit ribosomal RNA", at positions 1 to 923 of the family's 1478-position model. The record is from RNAcentral.
CCCGGGUUGGAUCCCGCCGGACCCUACUGCUAUCGGGGUGGGACUAAGACAGGCGAGUUGAACGACUUCUAGCCAUGAUGAAGUCGUGGCAUACGGCUCAGUAACACGUGGCUAACCUACCCUUGAGACGGAGACAACCCCGGGAAACUGGGGCUAAUCCCAGAUAGAUGAGAACUCCUGGAACGGGUUCUCGUCCAAAAGGCGUCUAGGCCAUGCUUCUAGAUGUUGCUCAAGGAUGGGGCCGCGGCCGAUCAGGCUGUUGGUGAGGCAACGGCUCACCAAACCUAUAACCGGUACGGGCCGUGGGAGCGGGAGCCCGGAGAUGGGAACUGAGACAAGGUCCCAGGCCCUACGGGGCGCAGCCGUUGCGAAAACUUGUCAAUGCACGAAAGUGUGAACGGGCUACCCCGAGUGCUGUCCGCUGAGGAUGGCUUUUCUCUGCUGUUAGAAGGCGGGGGAAUAAGGAGAGGGCAAGUCUGGUGUCAGCCGCCGCGGUAAUACCAGCUCUCCGAGUGGUGGGGGUGUUUAUUGGGCUUAAAGCGUCCGUAGCCUGCCUUUCAAGUCUCUCGUUAAAUCCGGCGAUUCAAUCGUUGGACUGCGGGAGAUACUGUUAGGCUAGGGGGCGGGAGAAGCCGACGGUAUCUCCGGGGUAGGGGUAAAAUUCUAUAAUCCCGGGAGGACCACCAGUGGCGUAGGCGGUCGGCUAGCACGCGCUCGACGGUGAGGGACGAAAGCUGGGGGAGCAAACCGGAUUAGAUACCCGGAUAGUCCCAGCUGUAAACGAUGCGGGCUAGGUGUUGGGGUGGCCACGAGCCACUUCAGUGCCGCAGGGAAGCCAUUAAGCCCGCCGCCUGGGGAGUACGGCCGCAAGGCUGAAACUUAAAGGAAUUGGCGGGGGAGCACCACAAGGGGUGAAGCUUGCGGUUCAAUUGGAUUCAACGCCGGGA